UACUGAACCAGCAUGGCUACCACAGCCUCCUGCAGCAACAUGCAACAUCCCAUCUAGUUUGCUCCAGGCUGUUUAAGGG
Long non-coding RNA from Etheostoma cragini (Arkansas darter), 79 nucleotides. RefSeq lists it as uncharacterized. Lineage: Eukaryota; Metazoa; Chordata; Actinopteri; Perciformes; Percidae. The record is from RefSeq and is a predicted model, not a curated record. The transcript has 3 exons.